Long non-coding RNA from Sinocyclocheilus anshuiensis, 284 nucleotides. RefSeq lists it as uncharacterized. The record is from RefSeq and is a predicted model, not a curated record. The transcript has 3 exons. NCBI's taxonomy places the organism in Eukaryota, Metazoa, Chordata, Actinopteri, Cypriniformes, Cyprinidae.
UGACGUGAGCAAAUCAGGUCCUGCAGAGACCUUGUGUGCGUUGCCUGUUGUGCCAAUUAACUCUGUUUACAUCCAGUCACGCUUUCCCAUCGGAGCAACUACCUUAAUUUUUGUGCCAGCGCGGGAUUAAAUGCUGCGUUUUCGUCUCCACUGGUAGCAAUGUUCAAAUCAAAGACGGCGGCGGCAUCAAAGAAAGAACAACAACAACCCACAACACGUAGAGAAACACAUUUCUCAAGGACACGUGGAGUAGUCUAAUGCCCGAAAAUUCGUCAAUAAACGGA